GAUGAACGCUGGCGGCGUGCCUAAUACAUGCAAGUCGAGCGAACAGACGAGGAGCUUGCUCCUCUGACGUUAGCGGCGGACGGGUGAGUAACACGUGGAUAACCUACCUAUAAGACUGGGAUAACUUCGGGAAACCGGAGCUAAUACCGGAUAAUAUAUUGAACCGCAUGGUUCAAUAGUGAAAGACGGUUUUGCUGUCACUUAUAGAUGGAUCCGCGCCGCAUUAGCUAGUUGGUAAGGUAACGGCUUACCAAGGCAACGAUGCGUAGCCGACCUGAGAGGGUGAUCGGCCACCCUGGAACUGAGACACGGUCCAGACUCCUACGGGAGGCAGCAGUAGGGAAUCUUCCGCAGUGGGCGAAAGCUUGACGGAGCAACGCCGCGUGAGUGAUGAAGGUCUUCGGAUCGUAAAACUCUGUUAUUGGGGAAGAACAAAUGUGUAAGUAACUAUGCACGUCUUGACGGUACCUAAUCAGAAAGCCACGGCUAACUACGUG
This 497-nucleotide ribosomal RNA is filed under the name uncultured bacterium. RNAcentral describes it as "partial 16S ribosomal RNA". It matches the Rfam family "Bacterial small subunit ribosomal RNA", at positions 28 to 507 of the family's 1533-position model. The record is from RNAcentral.